RNAcentral lists this long non-coding RNA (1635 nucleotides) under Macaca fascicularis (crab-eating macaque). Its description in RNAcentral is "lncRNA (ENSMFAG00000058424.1)". The record is from RNAcentral. Lineage: Eukaryota; Metazoa; Chordata; Mammalia; Primates; Cercopithecidae.
UUUAAUUACAAAAACUCUUUAUUAUUUCAUAAGAAUAGUAGAAAAAGUCUGACAGAAAGGGAAGGGAAGGUAGGUAGUUAACAGUUAGGGAGCAUCUAUUCCAUGCCAGCACUUUGCUAGGACUAUGACAUAAAGAAUGCUAUUUAACUCUCACAACCAUCUCAUAAGGUAUUAUUACCUGCUCUCCAUUCUCCUCCUUUUCAGGUUAGGAACAGGUUCACUGAGGUUAGUAACUUGCUUAUGGUCACCCACUUGUAGUGACAAAGCAGAAUUCAAAUGUGGUUCUUUUUUCACUUUCCCCUGGUGCCCUAAAGAGAAAGCUUGUAUAGAGUCUUAAUCCACACAGAUCUCCAUCAUAUUUAAGGCAGCCUGGUUGUUAAAAUAAGUAGCACCAUUCAAUAAGAAAAACCUAUGUUAUACAUCUAUAGAAUACUCAUUUCUAGUUAUAUUGUGCUAUUUGUUUUAAUGCUAAUUCAGAAGAACAGAUAAUAGGGUCUGUAGUAGUUGUAAGCAGUCCUUGAAUGUGAAAGUGUUAACAAUUUUAAUCCAACUCCAAGAGGACCAGAACUUGGCAUUCCUUAGAUGCACCAUUUAAAAUUGUUCCCAGUGCCCUUUGAAUGCUAUUUUUUUCCCAGCCAAGGCAGGCUUAUGUGGAGGAGAUAAAGAUGACAGCUUGAGGACUAAGGGUCCAGCCCUAUAUAAAUUACAUUGGGGGAAACAAGGGAAGGUCUUUGAAGCUCAGAGUCUCUGACUGAUAUUUUGGGUAGGUUUCAACCCUCUGCAUUCUCUUCUACUUGUUUCUAGAGAAAACUGUGGUAGAGGCCUUAGUGAAUCCCAGAGUCAAAAUCUGUCAUCACCUUUUAGCAGGUAAAGCUAGGCAAACCUUUGAGUUUGGAAUGGGUAGGGAAAAUGUGGUCCCUCACGAUAAGCCUCCCUACCCAUUACUUUGCUAGAGGGACUGAAAACCCUUUAAAGACUUGGCCUUGGAAACAGAAGAUCUAGGGACAGGUAAGGUGGAAAAAGGAGGUUAAUCUACACCCCAAUGGGCUGGAAGUAACACCUUGACUAUUUGCACCAUGCCAGCAAAUAAAGCUGAGAAUCAGCUCAGCCCAAGGCCUGGAAAGGAAACACAAAUGCAUGAAAAAUAACUUGAACCUCAUGGUUCUUUCAAAAGUCUCUUCGGCGAAAGUGUGAGUUGAAGAGUCGUAUAUCAUUUGCAGCUCUAUCCUCAUGCUCACUCUUCUGAGGUUUGACUUUACACAAACCUUGGUCAGCUGCAGAAGCAAGACACAAUGGGGACCUCAGAGUGAGGCUGAAGACUCCCCACACCCCCUCCUUGAAGCCCCUUCCAGGUUCCCCACCCGAUGUCCUCUAGCUCCUUUGAGCCUCGUCGCCCUUUAUGCUAUUCUUCCGAUAUGGGUCGUAAUUCCGUCUAUUUUGGGUUCUUCCUGCGCGUGCCUUAGAGGCCAUAAGACCCUGACUCACGUGCGUGUCCUCAAAGCCGCCAGCCCCAAGCGUGGCUGCUGGUGGGCGCAUCAGUAAAAGCGAGUGGAACGGAGCAGGCUCCUCCAACCUCUUUUCCACCUCUGAUUUCCGUUAAACAUUUGCUCCGCACGGCGGCCUCCGCGAGGCAAC